RNAcentral lists this small RNA (27 nucleotides) under Bombyx mori (domestic silkworm). RNAcentral's name for it is "ovarian small RNA-13518". The record is from RNAcentral. Lineage: Eukaryota; Metazoa; Arthropoda; Insecta; Lepidoptera; Bombycidae.
CCACGAUUCGCGUAAACUUUUGUAUGC